Molecule: ribosomal RNA, 977 nt
Filed under: uncultured bacterium
Lineage: Bacteria
Description: bacterial SSU rRNA
Rfam family: Bacterial small subunit ribosomal RNA
Source: RNAcentral
AGAGUUUGAUCCUGGCUCAGCCUGAACGCUGGCGGCGUGGUUAAGACAUGCAAGUCGAACGGGUGUAGCAAUACACCAGUGGCGGACGGGUGAGUAAUGUAUCGCUAAUGUACCCCGGAGCCAGGGAUAGCUUUCCGAAAGGAAAGGUAAUACCUGAUGAGACCACGGAAGGGCAUCCUUCUGUGCUCAAAGCCGUAAGGCACUCUGGGAGCAGGCGAUAUCGUAUCAGCUAGUUGGUGAGGUAACGGCUCACCAAGGCGACGACGCGUAGCUGGUCUGAGAGGACGGCCAGCCACAUUGGGACUGAGACACUGCCCAGACUCCUACGGGGGGCUGCAGUAACGAAUCUUCCGCAAUGCACGAAAGUGUGACGGAGCGACGCCGCGUGGAGGAUGAAGUUCUUCGGAAUGUAAACUUCUGUCAGGGGAUACCAAGUUCUGAGGAUCCCCAGAGGAAGGGGCGACUAACUCUGUGCCAGCAGUCGCGGUAAGACAGAGGCCCCGAGCGUUAGGCGGAAUCACUGGGCUUAAAGCGCGUGUAGGCGGAGGGCUAAGUACCUUGUGAAAUCCCCGGGCUCAACCCGGGAACUGCUUGGUAUACUGGUCUUCUUGAGGCAUCUAGGGGCGAGCGGAACAAACGGUGGAGCGGUGAAAUGCGUAGAUAUCGUUUGGAACGCCAAUGGUGAAAACAGCUCGCUGGGGAUGUCCUGACGCUGAGACGCGAAAGCCAGGGGAGCAAACGGGAUUAGAUACCCCGGUAGUCCUGGCCGUAAACGAUGUCCACUAGAUCGUAGCGCCUCUGACGGCGUUAUGGUCGAAGCAAAAGUGCUAAGUGGACCGCCUGGGAAGUACGGUCGCAAGGCUAAACUCAAAGGAAUUGACGGGGGCUCACACAAGCGGUGGAGCAUGUGGUUCAAUUCGAAGCACGCGCAGAACCUUACCUGGGCUUGACAUGCUAGGAUUAUCCCUUUGAAAGUA